RNAcentral lists this ribosomal RNA (232 nucleotides) under uncultured bacterium. Its description in RNAcentral is "partial 16S ribosomal RNA". It matches the Rfam family "Bacterial small subunit ribosomal RNA", at positions 255 to 504 of the family's 1533-position model. The record is from RNAcentral.
AGGUAACGGCCCACCAAGGCGACGAUCCAUAGCCGGCCUGAGAGGGUGAACGGCCACAUUGGAACUGAGACACGGUCCAAACUCCUACGGGAGGCAGCAGUGGGGAAUAUUGCACAAUGGGGGAAACCCUGAUGCAGCGACGCCGCGUGAAGGAAGAAGUAUUUCGGUAUGUAAACUUCUAUCAGCAGGGAAGAAAAUGACGGUACCUGAGUAAGAAGCACCGGCUAAAUAC